Molecule: unclassified non-coding RNA, 4232 nt
Filed under: Leishmania donovani
Lineage: Eukaryota; Euglenozoa; Kinetoplastea; Trypanosomatida; Trypanosomatidae
Description: gene:LdHU3.12.0700(CDS-product:WW_domain_containi ng_protein_putative)
Source: RNAcentral
CGGUUGCUACGGUUGCUUCAGUGAUUGCAUGCACAGAAACAGAAAAGGAAGUAUCAGGAAAUCACAACUACACUGCGUAGCGCGAAGCAUUCAGUAUUAGGCAGGCAGAAUGUCAGUAGUUCUCGAAGUUCAACCGGACACAGGCUAUGAGCCCUCUGAAGCCGAAAUGGUAGAGUAUGGGAAGUGGCUUGGGAUGGAGCUUCCCGACGACACGCCCCUUUUAUGGAUAGCGCGCGAGGGUCUCAAGGCGCCACUUCCGGAGCACUGGAAGGCGUGCAAGAGCGAAAAGGGCGAGUUGUACUACUUCAACUUCAAGACCGGGCAGAGCAUUUGGGAUCACCCCUCCGAUGAACACUACCGUGAGCUCCUCAAAGCGGAGAAGGCAAAGUUGCACGCAAAAGAAAAUGGAAAGGGUGACAAGGAAGUUACCCCCGCUGCCUCGUCCAAGGCUCAGGUCGCGCAUAGCGGCAAGGCUGCAAAGAAGAGGCGCUCAAAGGCCAGCGACACGGAGGCACAUGAAACAAAACCCAAAGCCCAAGAGGCGGCUGGGAAGACCAACAGCGUCAAGGACCUGGAGCCCAUACAGAAGAAGAAGGAACUGCCCGAAUCUCUGAAGAUCAGCACGAUGCUGAAUGAUGAAGGAAGGGAGGACAAGGGAAAUAUUGCAGCGGCACGCAUGGGCUCCACCGAGCUUCAAUCUACCGCUUCCCGUAGCUGCUCCUCUCUUGUAUCUGAUGCCGCGAAAGCACCCAAAAUCGAUGAGCCCGAUGCCAUUCCCCUUCCGUCAAAGGUAGUGGCUGGUGGUGGUGUGAACGGAUUGAGGGCUCUAGACAAGCUUGGCACAUCAUCGCCAGAGAAAGUGGUGACUUCUAGCUCAAAAAAUCAUAAAGCGAAGGUGGAUCAGCAGGUGAGCAAGGACCUCGAGGAAUAUAGAGCUCAGCAACAGAGCAACCUCAAGCGUCAGAAGGAGGAAAUCGACGCAGAAGUAGCAGAGGACCUCAGACGCUAUCAAGAGUGUGCAAACACCAAAAAGCAAAAGCGGCGAGCUGCGAUCGAGAAGGAGACGGCAGAUGCGCUGAAGAUCGAGUCGGCGAGGCUUGGCGCGGAGCUAGAGAGCAAGCUCGCUGCGCUGCGGCAGGAUUAUGAGACGAAGCUCACCGCUGAAAGCGAGCGCCUGCGCAGCAAGUUGAAAGCACACCUCGAGCAUGAUAAGCGAAAAGUUGAGGCGGAGGUUGCGCAGAUGUUAGAAAUCUUUACACGCGAAAAGCGACAGGAGUCGGAGAUCAGAAAAGAGGCUCAAUCUCAGGCGUUCCAGGAAGCUAUGAAAAGCAUGACUGACCUGAAGCAGUUCUCGUCAGCCUUUCUGCACGAGUAUGAGGCUGCGCUCGCCGCCUUUGCGAAGGAUGUGCAAGAGUCGCACAGUGUCUUCGAGCAGAUUGGGGCUCAAAGGCAGAAGCAGAUGCAGGAGGAAAUGGACGCAAAACUGGCACAGAUGCGCGAGGAGCAUGACCGGCACGUUCAGAAAGCGCAAGAUUGUGCGAGCGGGCGCCUCGAGACGCUGCGGAAAGACAUGGAGCGCGAAGCAGAGGAGCUCAAACAAACUCAGAAGCAGCAACUUCAAAGGAUGCACGACGAGUUCAUGGAACAGCGCAGUGCCCAUCAAAAAGAGCAGCUUUCUCAAGAUCACGAGCGCUUUAUGGAGACGCUGGGGGAAAUUAAGGCUUCCCAAGCAAAGGAGCUCGAGGCCCUGAAGCAGCAGCUGAAGGAGAAGGCUCAAGAAGAGUUGAAUGCUAUUAUGCAGGAGCUCAUGAAGGAAAAGGAGUCGCGACGGAGCAGCCUGAGCGUCGUGCGGCUUGCUGAAUCGCACGAGCCAACUCCUCGCAUGUUGGAAAGCCGAUCUAUGAGUGCUACAGAUGACGACGGUGACGUCGGAAAGGGAAAGGCGCCUCCUCCGCAUCUGGACAGAAAGCUACUGACACGUACCUCAGUCGAGGAGAGCGCUGCUGGGGCCGCCCCUGCUGCGGCACCGCAGCCGGACAUCAAAGCUCUUGUCACAGAGGCACUUCGUGAGGUGUUUGCCGGAUCGCCCUUCAUCCUUCCAUCUCCGCAAACGGGAGAGUUUCGAACGGCUCCAGGAACGCCCGCCGCCACAGCGUCUGCAACCACACCGUCAAGGAGCGGGCAGGACUUUCGCUCCUCGAACCCGGCGGCAAACCUGAUGCCGCCUGCCCUGAGCGGCAACCCAACCAAGGCAUCUGGAGCGUUUAAGCUACCCCUUUCUUUCGAGGAGCAGCGCAGCCUAGUGGAGGGAGAAAGGAGUCGCCUGCAGGAGGGCCGCAAGUAUGUAGAGCUGCAACAGCAAAACCUCGAAGAGCGGAAGCAGCAGUUGCGGCGCACGCGACACCAGUGGAAGCAAGAUGUUCUUGCCGCCAAACGGGAAGGCGUUCGCUCAUCUUCGAAUCGUGGGCAAUUACUCAACAAGGUUCGCCUUACACUGGAAGAGCAAGCGCAGGGCUUGGAGCAUGACAUGAUGAUCCUACGCGACUCUCAGGUAUGGCUCUUGUCGAAAGAGCAGCGCCUGAUUACUUUGGAGAAGCAGAUCGAGGAGCAGGAGCGGCUAAGGAGUCGUAACGGCGGCGAGGCUUCAGCGCUGAACAACUGCAGCGUCGACACUGCGGCGCUCAUGACUGGCUUCUUCAAACCUCCGCGGCACAGCGUCGCGACCCACGAUACAGCUUUCCACCGCGAUGUAAUGGGGUAUAAUGCUCUUGGGAGUGGCAGCAACCUUCCCAUGGACAAUUAUGCAGCGAGCCCGAUUCUCUCAAAGGCGCUUAGUCGCAUCGAACGGCGCUUGGACGAGGUCACAUCUAUUAUUCACAUGCAGCACCAACAGACCGCUUCGCAAGCCAUGACACCGUCUCAUGGGCACGGCAACAGCCGCCGGCACAGCACCGUGUCGCCAGUUGUUCGUGAGGCUGUGCCGGGGUAUGUACGUCGCACAUCGCGCAGCCACUCAAAGUCUGAUGCCCUGCGGCGCGACACGCACCUGGAUCAGUGGCAAGCCCCUGGGAUAUGAAGGCGGCCUUUGCUGAUGACCACUGGUCAGCGCGCCGCAAAGCUGUUGAUUUCAUCCAUCAUUUUUUUUUUUCAUGUAUGCGUUUGUCUUGUGGCGUUGUCCUCUCAUGCACGUUGUCCCUUCUUCCAUAGCGUGCAUCUCAUAGACAAUAAGAGAAGCGGAAGAAACUGCAGACAACGAUAGACAAAACUGGAGCAAUGCUUUCACCCAACUAAGUUUGUCCGUCUUUGUGUGUGUGUAUGCUCACGGCUCACUUUUUUUUUCACGUUUUUGUAGUUCCGUGAUGGUCCUGCCUUACUGCACAUAGAAUGGCUUUACUUUUCCCCCUUUACCCUUUGAAUAAUACUACAAAGUUCGUGUGGGUGUGUGCCUGUGCUUCUUGGGUACGAGUUCAAGUCUUGCAUUCAUUGUAAAAUUAGCCUUUUCUUGCCUUUUUUCGUUCCCUUUGCUUCCCGCUCAUGCUGCAUAUACACAUACACACCCCGUCACCAGUACUUUUGGCCUCUGCUUCUCCUCUUCUUGCGUGCUGGAGUAUUGUUACGAAGAAACGGUGUUCCCAGCACGGGUAGUAAAAAGGGCAAAGAAAACGCCAUUAUGGAGGAAGGGAAGCGGAGGGACAAACUCCCGCAAAUGCAUGAAGAAGCGACGCAGCGAGUAGAUGUAGACACAAUUUGUUAACGUGAUAGACACCCAAGCGCUGGUGCGCCAUCCUCGGCGUUUCUAUACCUGCCCUGUUGUUGAUGUUUUUCUGUCUUCAGUUCUUUUCAGCCUUUUUGUCUCUCUGUAUUGUGUUCAUUGCUUUUUGUUCACUCUUCAGUGAUUAUUACCGUUGCUUUCGGGUGCGUGCUUGAGGAUCUGUUCGGCUCUUUUUUCUUCCUCCUCGUUUUCACGUGUGGAGAGAAGGCAAGCAAACAACCAAAAAAGAACGAUGCGCCCUGAUAGAUGCGCUUCUGUUUGGGAGCAUUUUCGCCGUCGUGUCGUCCAGCGCUUUCGGCCAUAAAUCAACGGAAGAUUCUAAGUCGUGAGGGCCACUUUUGUGGCGCUGGUGCCAUGUUCGGUCCUACUCGAUGAUGAGUGAUGGACUAACUUGCUUAGGUUUCUCCGCCAAUCUUUCUCUAACUCGCCUCGUAUCUAUUUCUUUUUUUUUUGCUGACAG